Molecule: ribosomal RNA, 650 nt
Filed under: uncultured bacterium
Lineage: Bacteria
Description: bacterial SSU rRNA
Rfam family: Bacterial small subunit ribosomal RNA
Source: RNAcentral
GGGGGACUGACAGCUUGCUAGUUGCUGACGAGCGGCGGACGGGUGAGUAACGCGUAGGAAUCUGCCCGGUAGCGGGGGAUAGCCCAGAGAAAUUUGGAUUAAUACCGCAUACGCCCUACGGGGGAAAGCAGGGGAUCUUCGGACCUUGCGCUAUCGGAUGAGCCUGCGUCGGAUUAGCUAGUUGGUGGGGUAAUGGCCUACCAAGGCGACGAUCCGUAGCUGGUCUGAGAGGAUGAUCAGCCACACCGGAACUGAGACACGGUCCGGACUCCUACGGGAGGCAGCAGUGGGGAAUAUUGCACAAUGGGCGCAAGCCUGAUGCAGCCAUGCCGCGUGUGUGAAGAAGGCCUUCGGGUUGUAAAGCACUUUCAGUAGGGAGGAAAGGUUGUAGAUUAAUACUCUGCAGCUGUGACGUUACCUACAGAAGAAGCACCGGCUAACUCCGUGCCAGCAGCCGCGGUAAUACGGAGGGUGCAAGCGUUAAUCGGAAUUACUGGGCGUAAAGCGCGCGUAGGCGGCUUGUUAAGCCAGGUGUGAAAGCCCCGGGCUCAACCUGGGAACUGCAUUUGGAACUGGCAGGCUAGAGUACAGAAGAGGGUGGUAGAAUUUCCUGUGUAGCGGUGAAAUGCGUAGAUAUAGGAAGGAAUACC